GAUGAAGAACGCAGCGAAAUGCGAUAAUUAAUGUGAAUUGCAGAAUUUAGUGAAUCAUCGAAUCUUUGAACGCACAUUGCGCCCCUUGGUAUUCCGGGGGGCAUGCCUGUCUGAGCGUCAUUGUCAACCCUCAAGCUCAGCUUGCUGUUGGGUCCCCGUCGUUGCUUUAACGGCGGACCCGAAAGGUAAUGGCAGAGUCCGUGAGACCCUAGACGCAGCGAGCUUCUAGCACGCGUCUGGACGUUUUUCGGGCUCGGUCUUAACUAGAUGAUAACUUCCGAUUGACCUCAGAUCAGGUAGGGAUACCCGCUGAACUUAAGCAUAUCAAUAAGCGGAGGA
RNAcentral lists this unclassified non-coding RNA (339 nucleotides) under soil metagenome. RNAcentral's name for it is "partial contains 5.8S ribosomal RNA, internal transcribed spacer 2, and large subunit ribosomal RNA". The stretch from base 1 to 120 matches the Rfam family "5.8S ribosomal RNA", at positions 35 to 154 of the family's 154-position model. The record is from RNAcentral.